Non-coding RNA from Vicia faba (fava bean), 327 nucleotides. The record is from the annotation of a GenBank genome assembly. Lineage: Eukaryota; Viridiplantae; Streptophyta; Magnoliopsida; Fabales; Fabaceae.
AUGAAAGAGGAAUUUAGGGUUAAGAUAUGGCUCCUCAUCUUCUCAAUCGCGUGCACUGUGAACAACGAACACCCACCAUCGUUCAACUCCGCUCGGCCUCUCUUAAUCUAUCAUCUCCGCUCGGCCUCUCUUAAUCUAUCAUCUCCGCCCAGACUUCUCCUUCCAUCGUCUGCUUCUAAUUUCCCCCUUCAAACGAUUCGGUCUAUCAACAAGAUUUCCUCAUCUCUAUCACAACCUUCGCCUUCAUCCAUCAUGAUCUCGUUCACGAUUCAAUCCUCCGUGAACGAUUUGUAUUCUGCCUCCUCUAUUCGGCUUCGAUUCACAUAA